UAGCACGGAUGGCCGAGUGGUCUAAGGCGCCAGACUCAAGCAAUAGCUUGCCUCAAGUUCGAGGCCAAUUUUCUAUUUUU
Non-coding RNA from Caenorhabditis elegans, 80 nucleotides. The record is from Ensembl. NCBI's taxonomy places the organism in Eukaryota, Metazoa, Nematoda, Chromadorea, Rhabditida, Rhabditidae.